Molecule: ribosomal RNA, 445 nt
Filed under: uncultured organism
Description: partial 16S ribosomal RNA
Rfam family: Bacterial small subunit ribosomal RNA
Source: RNAcentral
ACUCCUACGGGAGGCAGCAGUGGGGAAUAUUGGACACUGGGCGCAAGCCUGAUCCAGCCAUGCCGCGUGAGUGAUGAAGGCCCUAGGGUUGUAAAGCUCUUUCACCGGUGAAGAUAAUGACGGUAACCGGAGAAGAAGCCCCGGCUAACUUCGUGCCAGCAGCCGCGGUAAUACGAAGGGGGCUAGCGUUGUUCGGAUUUACUGGGCGUAAAGCGCACGUAGGCGGACUAUUAAGUCAGGGGUGAAAUCCCGGGGCUCAACCCCGGAACUGCCUUUGAUACUGGUAGUCUUGAGUUCGAGAGAGGUGAGUGGAAUUCCGAGUGUAGAGGUGAAAUUCGUAGAUAUUCGGAGGAACACCAGUGGCGAAGGCGGCUCACUGGCUCGAUACUGACGCUGAGGUGCGAAAGCGUGGGGAGCAAACAGGAUUAGAAACCCCUGUAGUCCC